GCUUGGUUUGCUGUAAAGCACAAAAAGCCUGAGCGGGCGUGAGGCAGCGGUUUGGAAGGCAAGCUGGAGGUAGAUAUUGUGCAGCAUUUUAAGAAGUGUUUGUUUAAAUUUGUUUUUAGAACUAGCUUUCAGAACCUGUGUGAUUUUCAUCACAAUGAAUGAAGCUGUAUUGGGCUAGUUGAGGCAAAUCUAAUGCAUUUUGAAAUUCUCAGCAACCGAAGUUCCUGUGAAAGAGAUCCACACUGACUGCAAGGAUUAUGAGCACUUCAUCUGCUACAACUGCAAGACCAACCCCUUUCAUUUAUUGUUGUGAAAUAAAACGCUGAAAAAUGUGUCAGUCUUAUUUUGCAACGCCGGCUAAGCCUUGACUUGAACAAAGGCCGUGUUGCCCACAGGCCUGUUCCGUUAAUACGGAUAAUGAGCUAAUGGUUAGUAAGAUAUCAGACCGAUAACUGAGCAUGUUCAUUCAUAUGGCAUUGGCUUUACAACAUACCCUCAUUGCAUUACAUGUCAAUGAUUUAACAUAGAACACGACGUUUCUUUCGCUAGCUGUUGUUCGGUCAGGG
This is a long non-coding RNA of Gasterosteus aculeatus aculeatus (three-spined stickleback), 566 nucleotides long. The record is from Ensembl. Lineage: Eukaryota; Metazoa; Chordata; Actinopteri; Perciformes; Gasterosteidae.